This 430-nucleotide ribosomal RNA is filed under the name uncultured bacterium. RNAcentral's name for it is "bacterial SSU rRNA". It matches the Rfam family "Bacterial small subunit ribosomal RNA", at positions 355 to 776 of the family's 1533-position model. The record is from RNAcentral.
UGGGGAAUCUUGCGCAAUGGACGAAAGUCUGACGCAGCGACGCCGCGUGGGUGACGAAGGCCUUCGGGUUGUAAAGCCCUGUGGGGGGAGACGAACCGGCACGUAGCUAACAUCUACGGGCCUUGACGGUAUCCCUUUAGCAAGCAUCGGCUAACUCUGUGCCAGCAGCCGCGGUAAGACAGAGGAUGCAAACGUUGCUCGGAGUUACUGGGCGUAAAGCGCGCGCAGGCGGUCUCGUAAGUCGGGUGUGAAAUCCCGGGGCUCAACCCUGGAAGUGCACUCGAUACUGCAAGACUGGAGUACUGGAGGGGAGAGCGGAAUUCCCGGUGUAGAGGUGAAAUUCGUAGAUAUCGGGAGGAACACCAGUGGCGAAGGCGGCUCUCUGGACAGAUACUGACGCUGAGGCGCGAAAGCGUGGGAAGCAAACAGG